RNAcentral lists this ribosomal RNA (395 nucleotides) under uncultured bacterium. RNAcentral describes it as "bacterial SSU rRNA". It matches the Rfam family "Bacterial small subunit ribosomal RNA", at positions 505 to 898 of the family's 1533-position model. The record is from RNAcentral.
GUGCCAGCCGCCGCGGUAAGACAGAGGGGGCAAGCGUUGCUCGGAAUCACUGGGCGUAAAGGGCGCGUAGGCGGGAUGGCGAGUCGGUCGUGAAAUCCUUCGGCUCAACCGAAGAACGUCGGCCGAUACUGCCGUUCUUGAGGGAUGCAGAGGAGACUGGAAUUCCCGGUGUAGCGGUGAAAUGUGUAGAGAUCGGGAGGAACACCGGUGGCGAAGGCGGGUCUCUGGGCAUCUCCUGACGCUGAGGCGCGAAAGCGUGGGGAGCAAACGGGAUUAGAUACCCCGGUAGUCCACGCUGUAAACGAUGACGACUAGGUGUGGGGUGGUUCAGUCCACUCCGUGCCGCAGCUAACGCAUUAAGUCGUCCGCCUGGGGAGUACGGCCGCAAGGUUGAA